UUGGAAAUGGCUGUACUACCCUUUCCAGAUUGAUGACUGCAACAGUUGCUUCACUAAGGAAGUGCCAUGGCCUUGGUGGCAGUGGAUCCCAGGAGCACUAUUAUUGGAGGACUGUCGCUGCAUGUGACAUCAGAGGGAGUCGAACCGUCCAGGUGUAUUGGCAAACAAAUCAGCGAUGUGUGAUCUGUGUGCUUUUCUACCGGUGCUCACUAUUUGCUCACCGGCUCCUAUGACAACAAAGUCAUGAUUACUGGUCUUCAAGUUGUCUGUUCCUGUGGAGAUUAUGAAGGUGCCAAGCUGUCCGUUGCUUGGAUUCUGGAGUUUGCAUAUUUUUUGUAGCCUGUUUGUUAUUGCAAAAGCAAAAUUUCAC
Molecule: long non-coding RNA, 370 nt
Organism: Labeo rohita (rohu)
Lineage: Eukaryota; Metazoa; Chordata; Actinopteri; Cypriniformes; Cyprinidae
Exons: 3
Source: RefSeq, a predicted model, not a curated record